Molecule: unclassified non-coding RNA, 520 nt
Filed under: uncultured Glomus
Lineage: Eukaryota; Fungi; Glomeromycota; Glomeromycetes; Glomerales; Glomeraceae
Description: SSU rRNA
Rfam family: Eukaryotic small subunit ribosomal RNA
Source: RNAcentral
AGCAGCCGCGGUAAUUCCAGCUCCAAUAGCGUAUAUUAAAGUUGUUGCAGUUAAAAAGCUCGUAGUUGAAUUUCGGGAUCAAUAUGUUGGUCGUGCCUUGGUACGUACUGGCAUUAUUGGUUUCUACCUUCUGAAGAACCUCGAUGUCAUUAAUUUGGCGUCUUGGGGAAUCAGGACUGUUACUUUGAAAAAAUUAGAGUGUUUAAAGCAGGCUCGCGCUUGAAUACAUUAGCAUGGAAUAAUGAAAUAGGACGUUUGAUUCUAUUUUGUUGGUUUCUAGGAUCGACGUAAUGAUUAAUAGGGAUAGUUGGGGGCAUUAGUAUUCAAUUGUCAGAGGUGAAAUUCUUGGAUUUAUUGAAGACUAACUACUGCGAAAGCAUUUGCCAAGGAUGUUUUCAUUAAUCAAGAACGAAAGUUAGGGAUCGAAGACGAUCAGAUACCGUCGUAGUCUUAACCACAAACUAUAGACCGACUAGGGAUCGGAUGAUGUUAAUUUUUUUAAUGUACUCAUUCGGCGCCU